RNAcentral lists this ribosomal RNA (409 nucleotides) under uncultured bacterium. Its description in RNAcentral is "bacterial SSU rRNA". It matches the Rfam family "Bacterial small subunit ribosomal RNA", at positions 48 to 500 of the family's 1533-position model. The record is from RNAcentral.
CUAACACAUGCAAGUCGCACGGCUCCUUCGGGGGCAGUGGCGGACGGGUGAGUAACGCGUGGGAACCUGCCCUGGAGUUCGGAACAACCGUGGGAAACUGCGGCUAAUACCGGAUACGCCCCGAGGGGGAAAGGAGCGAUCCGCUCCGGGAUGGGCCCGCGUCCGAUUAGCUAGUUGGUGAGGUAACGGCUCACCAAGGCUGCGAUCUUGUAGCUGGUCUGAGAGGAUGAUCAGCCACACUGGGACUGAGACACGGCCCAGACUCCUACGGGAGGCAGCAGUGGGGAAUCUUGGACAAUGGGCGCAAGCCUGAUCCAGCGACGCCGCGUGGGUGAUGAAGGCCUUCGGGUUGUAAAGCCCUUUUCCCGGGGACGAUGAUGACGGUACCCGGGGAAUAAGCACCGGCUAA